This is a long non-coding RNA of Lathyrus oleraceus (garden pea), 520 nucleotides long. RefSeq lists it as uncharacterized. The transcript is spliced from 5 exons. The record is from RefSeq and is a predicted model, not a curated record. Lineage: Eukaryota; Viridiplantae; Streptophyta; Magnoliopsida; Fabales; Fabaceae.
AGGUCAAUGUCACUCUUUUAUGCUUAUAACAUCAUGUGUUGUUAUAAUUUCGUCUUUUUGUUUACUCUAAAAUGUUACUCUUUUUAUUUUCCAAGAUUAUUUUGAAGUGAUAACUAACUUGUUCGUCGGAGUGUUUGUAGGAAGGUAUGUACGCUCUUGUCAUGAAUAUAUCAAAAUGAGUCUUGAGGUCAUUACAGGGAGAGCCAGCCGUUGAGGUUACAAAUGAAGGUGUUGAUGCUGCAGGGCAUACAAUUGGUACAUCUUUGGAGGUCGUGUUCAAACUUAGGAAGGUUCUCAACCCCAAGAGUGUGAUCAAACCAACACCACUAGCUAAAGAUUAUUUUGAGAAUAACAUCUAUCGAAUAAAUUUCAGAUGAAAGACCUUGGUAAACUCCUAUAUUUUUUGGGUAUUGAGGUAGUCCAAUCUAAAGAUGAUAUGGUAAUUUCUCCGGGGAAAUAUGCUAUGGAUACUUUUGAAGAUACAAGUUUGUAGAUAAUGCAUUCAUAGAAAGUAAGUCAC